This is a long non-coding RNA of Microcebus murinus (gray mouse lemur), 600 nucleotides long. RefSeq lists it as uncharacterized. The record is from RefSeq and is a predicted model, not a curated record. NCBI's taxonomy places the organism in Eukaryota, Metazoa, Chordata, Mammalia, Primates, Cheirogaleidae.
GCCCCGCCUCCCACGCCUGCGCAGUUCCCUCCGGCCUAACCGUGAGAAGAGUACUCCGGGUCGCAGGGCACCAGACAGGGCACCAUCCCAGCCUCAGCCAUGCGCCCCACGGCGCCGAACAGCCUCCUGCUGGCCUGCAGCCUUGCUGUCGUUCCCUUCUUCGUAGUCUCCUGGGAGAUUAAAAUGAGUGACUUAGAGGAGAAAGAUGUUGAUGAAUUCAGCUCCAGUGGUUUUAAGUGCCCAACCUGCUUUGCAGUGCAGGGAAGAAAAUGUGAUACACAACUCAAAUGGUGUGCAGCAGAUAAAAUAAACUGUGUUGAAUUCUCUGGCAUCAUAAGCACAGGUGUUCGUGACGUAGCUAUUGAAAUGAAGAAAUGCAUAGAAGCACACCUAUGCAAAGAGGUGAUAACUUCUUAUAUGGGUUUUCCAAUUGCUAACGAGAGUAGAAAUUGCAAAUCAGCCAUAAGAAAUGGGGCCAGAGUGAGACCCCCAACUCCCAUCUUCUUUGUUCUCCUCCUGGGGAGGCUACUUCAUUAAGCUCCUGCAAGAGCCCAGCCACCUCCAUUUAUGAAUUAAACAUGCAUUUUUGUUUAUGUAUUC